Long non-coding RNA from Mya arenaria, 838 nucleotides. RefSeq lists it as uncharacterized. The transcript has 3 exons. NCBI's taxonomy places the organism in Eukaryota, Metazoa, Mollusca, Bivalvia, Myida, Myidae. The record is from RefSeq and is a predicted model, not a curated record.
CAAACUGUGUUGAAACGCCAACUGGAGUUGGUCAUGGACCUUUGCCGCCCUUCAUCCAGAGCCUUCCACAGAGAUGGCAGAUAUAUCGCUGCCUGGACCAACAGUUGACCAUGCCGUUGAGUCCAUGAUAUCAGUAGCAGCCAUGAAAACAUCUACAGAAUUACAUCUGCGGCCGUGGCUAUUAAUGGAUACAUUCUGCACCACUUCCAUGUGCUGUCAGUUUGAAACGUCUCUACUCUGACAGAAGGAAGGGAAUGAAUACCCAGGAUUGUUCCUCAGGAAAAUCUCUUCAACAGGCUGUUGUCAGUUUGCAUGCUCUUUGGAUGGAAUUACCCUACCUUGGCUUGCAGAGAAUCUGUGAUAUAAAAGACCUCUUUUGUGCUGCAUUGUGUCAUUGAUUUAUUGUAUUUUAUAUGUAUUAUGCCACUAUUGUAAAAACAAAUGGGCAUAUGUUUUAGCGUAUGUUUUCAAACAGACACAUUUAUAUUUCAAACAGACACAUUUAUAUUUUUGAAUAAUUUGAAAAUACAUUUUGUAGGUUGACUUCAAUCCAUGAAACAUUAAUGGUAGGUUAUAUUUGACCAGAACAUGACAAGUAUUGUUUUCGGAGUUUUUUGGUCGAAGGUGAAGGUAAUGGCUAACAGUGGUUAUUCUGCACAAUGAACCUUGAAUUCUUUGACCUAGGACCAUUAAUAUUUAGUGAUUGAUAUAUCAGUCCAACUCAUAUGUGAAAGGGACAUGAUGAAAUUGAGCAAGAGCUUAUUAGCAUUGCAAAUUAUUAUUUGUUCAUUUUUAGCUCGACUAUUCGAAGAAUAGGUGGGCUAUACUAUCAUUAACA